RNAcentral lists this ribosomal RNA (159 nucleotides) under Alternaria infectoria. Its description in RNAcentral is "5.8S ribosomal RNA". It matches the Rfam family "5.8S ribosomal RNA". From Rfam's summary of the family: 5.8S ribosomal RNA (5.8S rRNA) is a component of the large subunit of the eukaryotic ribosome. It is transcribed by RNA polymerase I as part of the 45S precursor that also contains 18S and 28S rRNA. Lineage: Eukaryota; Fungi; Ascomycota; Dothideomycetes; Pleosporales; Pleosporaceae. The record is from RNAcentral.
CUUUCAACAACGGAUCUCUUGGUUCUGGCAUCGAUGAAGAACGCAGCGAAAUGCGAUACGUAGUGUGAAUUGCAGAAUUCAGUGAAUCAUCGAAUCUUUGAACGCACAUUGCGCCCUUUGGUAUUCCAAAGGGCAUGCCUGUUCGAGCGUCAUUUGUAC